ACUCCUACGGGAGGCAGCAGUGGGGAAUAUUGCACAAUGGGCGCAAGCCUGAUGCAGCCAUGCCGCGUGUAUGAAGAAGGCCUUCGGGUUGUAAAGUACUUUCAGCAGUGAGGAAGGUGGAUAUGUUAAUAGCAUAUUCAUUUGACGUUUAGCUGCAGAAGAAGCACCGGCUAACUCCGUGCCAGCAGCCGCGGUAAUACGGAGGGUGCGAGCGUUAAUCGGAAUUACUGGGCGUAAAGCGCAUGCAGGUGGUUUGUUAAGUCAGAUGUGAAAGCCCGGGGCUCAACCUCGGAAUUGCAUUUGAAACUGGCAAACUAGAGUACUGUAGAGGGGGUAGAAUUUCAGGUGUAGCGGUGAAAUGCGUAGAGAUCUGAAGGAAU
Molecule: ribosomal RNA, 380 nt
Filed under: uncultured bacterium
Lineage: Bacteria
Description: bacterial SSU rRNA
Rfam family: Bacterial small subunit ribosomal RNA
Source: RNAcentral